CUCUGCGCUGUUUGCAUACGUGCUCUAAUCUUUUGAAUAGCCUCAUUAGUAGACCGAACUAAUUCAGGUCCCAUCAACCUAUGUUCACCAACCUCACUCCAACAAACAGGGGUUCUACAACAUUUGCCAUACAAAGCCUCAAAUGGUGCCAUACCGAUGGUAGCCUGGAAACUGUUGUUAUAAGCAAACUCCAUCAAAUGUAGAUGAGAGUCCCAAC
Molecule: long non-coding RNA, 217 nt
Filed under: Cucumis sativus (cucumber)
Lineage: Eukaryota; Viridiplantae; Streptophyta; Magnoliopsida; Cucurbitales; Cucurbitaceae
Description: long non-coding RNA (CSAT_LNC002986)
Source: RNAcentral